GUUUGGUUUUCGUAUUUUUAUGUUUUUCCUUAACACCAUGUGUCAGUUAUGAAUGACCACAUAUAGAAGAUAUACAUACAUUUGGAUCACAGCGCUGAAUAUACAUCAAUAACGGACUAUACAAAGUGGUACGACUAUACAGCUGUUCAAAUAAUUUGGGAUGUCAGGGCAAGGUAUAUCCAUUUUGCCUGCCCGUCUCUUUACCUGCUCGCGUGUGUGUAUGUGUUCAUUAAAUAUGACAACAGUUAAGUUGUACAGUAUGUGUUGACGCCUUGUUGUUGCACUUCAACGUUAAUCCGGCUUUGGUCCUAAAAGCUGAUGUGGCAUCUCACGUCUAGGCUCACUGACCCCGGGUCAGUGCUACAGCGAGGUCAAGAGGGAAUUUCUGAGUGAUUCUGAUUCCAGAGCUAUUUAGCGCCUUUUGAGGAUCAGUUUGUUUAUUGUGAAAUUGAGUUCUCCACUGGUAAUGACGCAGUCAUAACGAGAGCUGGCGGGCGGUAGUUAAGAUGCCAAAGACUUCAAUAGUCUGCGGACUCGUUUUAAUAAAGUGGUUGCUAGCAGCAACAACCCCUGGACCCGGAGUCAUAAACGGCGUCAAUUAUUAAUGCACUUGCACACAGGCUGGGAAGCGACAGGCACCGACAAGGACUAGAAGUACACUGAUCUCACAUAAUGGAGGAGAGAGAGCCCUCUCCGUCCUCGCAGAAAGAGGUCCUUAUCAUUCCUCUCCAUCCAAACGUCACUCCACCCAGCCCUGCCCACCAGACAUCAUGCCCUUCCUCUUCUCAGACCACAUCUACUUCCACUGUGUCUUCUCCAAAAGGACCAGCAGGUUCACAGCUGUUUGCUGAGUUGUUGGAAAGCCACGCCCGUCGCAUCCCUAGGACCGCCUCCCCAGAACGCGUAACCACACCUCCACAACAAACCACACCCCAACAUGUAACCACACCCUCUAAUGUGGCCACACCCUCCCCUGUGGCCACGCCUUCUCGUGUAGCCGCACCCCAAAGCCCUUCUCUCUCUCCAACCCCGACCACAUCCCCUAAAGAGCAAGGUGCGCGUAGCCUCAGCAGCCCCGAGCUUCUCAAAGAGCUGAAGCAGCCACACCCACUCAAGCAUGUCUCCGCCCACAAGGGCCUGACCACUGUCUUCUCUGGGCGGGGCAAGACUCCAUCACCAAGCACUACCACCAGUCAUGGAGGAGAGAAGCCUCAGGGCUUGUCCAAUGGAAUGAAGCAUUAAAGAUGUGCUGUUAAGCCAUUGGAUGUAGAAGGUGCCAUUCAUCUGUGUCAGACAGACACUGCAUGCUCAACUCCUCUGCCAUAGUCAUGCUUCCAUACUCACACAUCACAUCCUAUGCUAUGUCCGCCACACUCCUUAGUAGUAUAUACAGUAUGUAUCAUGUAAAAGCACACUGUUCUGGAAUGUAGAUGACUGUGAUGUUUAUAUGUUUACUGGAUAGAUGGUUUAGCUUUUGAAAGUGACAUCAGACAUAAGGGCAUAUGAAUGUGAGAUGUAUUUGUAUAAGGUGUGUGUGUGUAUUUGUAUAAGGUGUGUGUGUGUGUGUGUGUGUGUGUGUGUGUGUGUGUGUGUGUGUGUGUGUGUGUGUGUGUGUGUGUGUGUGUGUGUGUGUGUGUGAAAAUCCUGUGUCGCUGCUCAGCCUUCCUCAAUAAGCUAAUGCAUCAGCACUUAUAAUAAAACAUGACUUACUUAUAUUACAACAUUGGACUGAUUGGUCUUCAGCUGUGUGUGUGUGUGUGUGUCUCCGGUCAUACUGUGUAAGUGUAAGUACAGUACAUCUGCUGUAUUGUACAGGUGUGUGUGUGUGUGUUUAUGUCUGUGUGUCUAUUCUCUACUAUUCUUUUUCUGUCUCUCAGUGACUAUUUUCAACUGUAAAUCUGUGUGUAUGAGAGUGUGAGCAUGUUCUAUAUCAUACAGGAAUGUGUGUGUGUGCAGGGAUGGAUUACCGAACAGGCCUACCAUGAGCUCAGGGGGCCCCUAAGCCAGAGCCUCUGCGUGAAGUCGCUGUUAUGUAUCUCUUAUUUGUGGUUGAAAGAGGUGUAUUUUGCUAAUUUGCUGUCGGCUUUAAUUGAUGGUACCUGCGCUGUGUUAGAAAAUAUGCAUGUGCGCCAGGGGCAUAACUAUAGACAAUGCAGCCAGCGCGGAGGGUUCAUAGGCAAAGGAGGCCAUGCCUUAUUGCUUUUCUUCUAUAUGGCUGUCAGAGUGUUGCUAGUAAAUGCGACUGUGAUCAACAAUGAAUUUGUUUUGAAUUCUUUACGACACCUUAUGCUAUAUAUUAUGCCCUCGAAAUGGCAAACCUGUCUCUGUCAUGGUUUUCAUCAUUUUUGGGGGAAGUAGCUAUCUAUAACAUAAUGAUAUGCUUAUCCUAAAUAAACGAU
Molecule: long non-coding RNA, 2399 nt
Organism: Clupea harengus (Atlantic herring)
Lineage: Eukaryota; Metazoa; Chordata; Actinopteri; Clupeiformes; Clupeidae
Source: Ensembl